Molecule: ribosomal RNA, 468 nt
Filed under: uncultured bacterium
Lineage: Bacteria
Description: partial 16S ribosomal RNA
Rfam family: Bacterial small subunit ribosomal RNA
Source: RNAcentral
GACGAACGCUGGCGGCGUGCUUAACACAUGCAAGUCGAACGGAAAGGCCCUGCUUUUGUGGGGUGCUCGAGUGGCGAACGGGUGAGUAACACGUGAGUAACCUGCCCUUGACUUUGGGAUAACUUCAGGAAACUGGGGCUAAUACCGGAUAGGAGCUCCUGCUGCAUGGUGGGGGUUGGAAAGUUUCGGCGGUUGGGGAUAGACUCGCGGCUUAUCAGCUUGUUGGUGGGGUAGUGGCUUACCAAGGCUUUGACGGGUAGCCGGCCUGAGAGGGUGACCGGCCACAUUGGGACUGAGAUACGGCCCAGACUCCUACGGGAGGCAGCAGUGGGGAAUAUUGCACAAUGGGCGGAAGCCUGAUGCAGCAACGCCGCGUGCGGGAUGACGGCCUUCGGGUUGUAAACCGCUUUCGCCUGUGACGAAGCGUGAGUGACGGUAAUGGGUAAAGAAGCACCGGCUAACUACGCG